CAGGUUUAAGGCAUUUAAAGAUGAAGAUAAAGAUUUUCUUGCACAAACAAGGUCUUAUGGAGAAUAACUGAGGAUAUAAAACAAUGCGAGAAAUAAUAGAACAGACAAAUGUGACACAAGAUGCCCACCAUCCAGUGGAAGAGAAAGGGAAAAUUAAGAAAAACAAGAAAGCUACAAAGAAAUAGUUCAAAAUUAACAGACACCGGAGGCACUGACAUCUGGGACAUCUGGCCUCAUCCCUAACUUGAACACCCGCUUCCUGUGCACUAGGCUAGCUAGAGGAAUCUUAAGGUAAACUCCCCAACUGCAAAGAACUGUUAUGUAUGAGUUAAAGUUAACUAUCCCGUGACCAUGAUGUGAACUAUGAGAAUGAAACGUAAUCAUCCAUAUGAAGCCAAGGCUGUAAAACCCUAUAAAAGGAGGAGUUGUAACCCAGUGUGUGGUCAAUCCAGGCACUGUUUAUGUGCAAUCAACCCUCUUCAAUGAGUAAAUUUGUUAUUUUACUUCCAUUCUGCUGCCUCUCUGUGUAUCACUUGCAAAUUCCUUCUGCAACAUCCUGGGGAGUAUAGAAUCUUCAAAUGCUUUAAUUCUAGGCAUCCUCUUCCAAUAGCAAUGCUACUAUUACCCAGUAUUUAUUCUAUUUUUUCCCAUUAACCAAGCAAGUUAGAGAAUACUACUAUUAAGUUUUAUAAAGU
This 695-nucleotide long non-coding RNA is filed under the name Fukomys damarensis (Damara mole-rat). RNAcentral describes it as "lncRNA (ENSFDAG00000033412.1)". Lineage: Eukaryota; Metazoa; Chordata; Mammalia; Rodentia; Bathyergidae. The record is from RNAcentral.